UACGGAGGAUCCAAGCGUUAUCCGGAUUCAUUGGGUUUAAAGGGUGCGUAGGCGGACUGAUAAGUCAGCGGUGAAAUCCCACGGCUCAACUGUGGAACUGCCGUUGAUACUGUUAGUCUUGAAUGCAGAUGAUGUGGGCGGAAUAUGACAUGUAGUGGUGAAAUACUUAGAUAUGUCAUAGAACACCGAUUGCGAAGGCAGCUCACAAAA
RNAcentral lists this ribosomal RNA (210 nucleotides) under uncultured bacterium. Its description in RNAcentral is "partial 16S ribosomal RNA". It matches the Rfam family "Bacterial small subunit ribosomal RNA", at positions 524 to 733 of the family's 1533-position model. The record is from RNAcentral.